CAGCGCGGUAAUUCCAGCUCCAAUAGCGUAUAUUAAAGUUGUUGCAGUUAAAAAGCUCGUAGUUGAAUUUCGGGAUCAAUAUGUUGGUCGUGCCUUUGGUACGUACUAGCUUAUUGAUUUCUCCCUUCUGACGAACCAUGAUGUCAUUAAUUUGGUGUCAUGGGGAAUCAGGACUGUUACUUUGAAAAAAUUAGAGUGUUUAAAGCAGGCUUACGCUUGAAUAUAUUAGCAUGGAAUAAUGAAAUAGGACGUUUUGAUUCUAUUUUGUUGGUUUCUAGGAUCGACGUAAUGAUUAAUAGGGAUAGUUGGGGGCAUUAGUAUUCAAUUGUCAGAGGUGAAAUUCUUGGAUUUAUUGAAGACUAACUACUGCGAAAGCAUUUGCCAAGGAUGUUUUCAUUAAUCAAGAACGAAAGUUAGGGGAUCGAAGACGAUCAGAUACCGUCGUAGUCUUAACCAUAAACUAUGCCGACUAGGGAUCGGAUGAUGUUAAUUUUUUAAUGACUCAUUCGGCGCCUUACG
RNAcentral lists this unclassified non-coding RNA (519 nucleotides) under uncultured Glomeromycotina. RNAcentral describes it as "SSU rRNA". It matches the Rfam family "Eukaryotic small subunit ribosomal RNA", at positions 571 to 1092 of the family's 1831-position model. The record is from RNAcentral. Lineage: Eukaryota; Fungi; Glomeromycota.